CAGACCCAGAUUGUUAAUGUUAUUGUUGGGAAAGACAAAAAAGGCAGAAAGAUCCCAGAAUAUCUGAUCCAUUUUAAUGGCUGGAACAGAAGCUGGGAUAAGUGGGCAACUGAAGAUCAUGUGCUUCAUGAUACUGAUGAAAAUCGUAGAUUACAGCAUCAAUUGGCAAGAAAAGCUGUAGCUCGCCUGAGCAGCACAGGAAGAAAGAAGUGCUGCAGGUUGCCUGGUGUUGAUUGACUCUGUCUUAAAAGGCCUCCUCAUUGAUGAAAAAGAUGAAAAUGAUGAAAAUUCAUUAAGCAGUUCCUCUGGCAGCAGCAAAGGAUGAAGAAUAAGUGAAGAAAGUGAUAUUGAAGAAAAGACUGAAGUGAAAGAAGAACCAGAGCUUCAAACAAAAAGAGAAAUGGAAGAAACAACAGUAACUAUAGAAAUACCUGAAGUUCUGAAGCAGCAGAAGGAUGAUUGUUAUUACAUUAACAGGAGGAAAUGGUUAGUGAAACUUUCAUGCCAGACCAACAUCAUAAUGAUUUUGGAAGCAUUUUGCUCUCAAUGCAGCCUUUUCAGCCAAUGAGAGGCCUCGUCACCAUCAUGCUAUGCCACAUGCCAAUAUGAACGUGCAUUAUAUCCCAGAAGAAAAGAAUGUUGACCUUUUUAAGGAGAUGGUGGAUGGAUUAAGAAUAACCUUUGAUUACACUCUCCUGUUGGUUUUACUCUAUCCAUAUGAACAAACUCAGUAUAAAAAGGUGACUUUGUACAAGUUUUUUUUCCAAUUAAGGAAAGUGCCAUAAACACUAAUACGAUCCAGGAGGAACUCUCUCCCAGCCUGCCUUUGUUGAAUCCAUCCAUGCCACAGUCCACAGAGAGUCAGCCAACCAUUAGUGAACCAGCCACCCACAAAAGGCGCAAAGCUGAGUUGGAAGCAUUGCAGUCUCUGAGGUGGUCCCUGAGCCACACCACCAACUGUGACAGACUUUCUGACAGCAGCACCUCACCUCAGCCCAAGCGCCAGCAGCAGGACACAUCCGCCAGUAUAACCAAGCUGUUCCUGCACCUGGAAAAGAAGACACCCGUGCAUAGCAGAUUGUCUUCACCUAUUCCUCUGACUCCUAGCAAGGAAGGAAGUACAGUGUUCGCUGGCUUUGAAGGGAGAAAAACUAAUGAAAUGAACGAGGUCCUGUCCUGAAGCUUAUGCCUGACAAUUACCCACCAGGUGACCAGCCGCUUCCACCCUCUUACAUUUAUGGGGUAUAACAUUUGCUGCGAUUGUUUGUAAAACUUCCAGAAAUCCUUGGAAAGAUGUCCUUUUCUGAGAAAAAUCUGAAGGCUUUGUUGAAGCACUUUGAUCUCUAUUUGAGGUUUUUAGCAGAAUACCGUGAUUACUUUUUCCCAGAGUCAGCUUGUGUCGCUGCCUGUGAGGUGCAUUACAGCAGCAAGAAUCUCCGGGCAAUUUAUUACAGUGUUGAUGGUUCUGUAAGAACAACUCCUCUAUCUAGCUCAGCGCUCUGGGUUCCAGAUGAACAACUAUCAAGGUAGUGGGUCUUUACCCAGAGCACAAAUACAAUGCCCACCUGGCGGCUCUGACAGAGGUAGGCCCUGAGUUGCCCACAUACUGUAGUUAUUCUGUUAGGAAUUGUUUCCUGGGUGCCUAUAGUGCUCUGACACAACACUUGCUACUGUGCAGGCCAUCUGUGAUGGCAGGAAAAAAGCAACUGGGUCCACAGUGAAAUGUUCGUGGAAGCAUACAUAGGUUAGGCUAUUUCAAUAGACAUUGCAGUUAAUUAGCUAGAACCACAUUGUUUUUUUAUUUGUUAGCAUUAAGUAAUUUUUUUUUUUUUUUUGCAAAUUGGUUUCAUUCUUUUGAUGAAGCUGAGCAACUCUGUCCAACAAGGUUUAGUUUGUACUUGGAAACCACAAAGUAGUCUCAAAGUAUUUUAGAGGGACUCGAUAUUGACGGCAAAAGAAAAUUUGCAGCUACACGUUUGCUUCUAACAGUUCCCUCUCUAUGAAACAUUAUUUUUGGUGAUCUAAAGAAAGCAUUGUGUUUCUUGUUUGAGAUUUUACAGCUAUACUUUGCUGUGUAAUGUUAUGGCUACCUUUCUGUAAAAUGUUAGUUUUGGUGAUCUAAAUAA
RNAcentral lists this long non-coding RNA (2126 nucleotides) under Homo sapiens (human). RNAcentral describes it as "long non-coding RNA NONHSAT214041.1". The record is from RNAcentral. Lineage: Eukaryota; Metazoa; Chordata; Mammalia; Primates; Hominidae.